This 332-nucleotide unclassified non-coding RNA is filed under the name soil metagenome. RNAcentral's name for it is "partial contains 5.8S ribosomal RNA, internal transcribed spacer 2, and large subunit ribosomal RNA". The stretch from base 1 to 120 matches the Rfam family "5.8S ribosomal RNA", at positions 35 to 154 of the family's 154-position model. The record is from RNAcentral.
GAUGAAGAACGUAGCAAAAUGCGAUAAGUAAUGUGAAUUGCAGAAUUCAGUGAAUCAUCGAAUCUUUGAACGCACAUUGCGCCCGUCAGUAUUCUGGCGGGCAUGCCUGUUCGAGCGUCAUUUCAACCCUCAAGCACAGCUUGGUGUUGGGACUCGCGUUAAUUCGCGUUCCCCAAAUUGAUUGGCGGUCACGUCGAGCUUCCAUAGCGUAGUAGUAAAACCCUCGUUACUGGUAAUCGUCGCGGCCACGCCGUUAAACCCCAACUUCUGAAUGUUGACCUCGGAUUAGGUAGGAAUACCCGCUGAACUUAAGCAUAUCAAUAAGCGGAGGA